RNAcentral lists this transfer RNA (77 nucleotides) under Acropora cervicornis. Its description in RNAcentral is "tRNA-Ser". The record is from RNAcentral. Lineage: Eukaryota; Metazoa; Cnidaria; Anthozoa; Scleractinia; Acroporidae.
GGCUUCAGAGCUCAGUUGGUUUGAGCGACACAGUGACUGGAAUUGCGAGGUCAAAGGUUCAAACCCUGUUGAAGUCC